This 83-nucleotide transfer RNA is filed under the name Telchinia issoria (yellow coaster). RNAcentral's name for it is "tRNA-Ile". The record is from RNAcentral. Lineage: Eukaryota; Metazoa; Arthropoda; Insecta; Lepidoptera; Nymphalidae.
AUAUAUAUAUAUUAUAUAAUUAUAAAUAAAUAAUUUAAUAAUAUUUUUUAAUUUAUUAUUAUAUUUAAAAUAUAUUAUAUAUU